UGGGGAAUUUUGGACAAUGGGCGAAAGCCUGAUCCAGCAAUGCCGCGUGUGCGAAGAAGGCCCUCGGGUUGUAAAGCACUUUUGUCCGGAAAGAAAUCCGCCUGGCUAAUACCCGGGCGGGAUGACGGUACCGGAAGAAUAAGCACCGGCUAACUACGUGCCAGCAGCCGCGGUAAUACGUAGGGUGCGAGCGUUUAUCGGAAUUACUGGGCGUAAAGCGUGCGCAGGCGGCUUUGUAAGACAGAUGUGAAAUCCCCGGGCUCAACCUGGGAACUGCAUUUGUGACCGAAAGGCUAGAGUGCGUCAGAGGGAGGUGGAAUUCCGCGUGUAGCAGUGAAAUGCGUAGAGAUGCGGAGGAACACCGAUGGCGAAGGCAGCCUCCUGGGAUGACACUGACGCUCAUGCACGAAAGCGUGGGGAGCAAACA
This 427-nucleotide ribosomal RNA is filed under the name uncultured bacterium. RNAcentral describes it as "bacterial SSU rRNA". It matches the Rfam family "Bacterial small subunit ribosomal RNA", at positions 355 to 774 of the family's 1533-position model. The record is from RNAcentral.